Molecule: ribosomal RNA, 428 nt
Filed under: uncultured bacterium
Lineage: Bacteria
Description: bacterial SSU rRNA
Rfam family: Bacterial small subunit ribosomal RNA
Source: RNAcentral
UCGAGAAUUUUUCUCAAUGGGGUAAACCCUGAAGGAGCGACGCCGCGUGGGGGAUGAAGGGCUUCGGCUCGUAAACCCCUGUCAUUUGUGAGCAAGUGUUAUUGUUUAAGGGAUGAUGACAUUGAUAGUAGCAAAAGAGGAAGGGACGGCUAACUCUGUGCCAGCAGCCGCGGUAAUACAGAGGUCCCAAGCGUUGUUCGGAAUCACUGGGCGUAAAGGGUGCGUAGGCGGUAUAGUAAGACUUGGGUGAAAUCUCCAUGCUUAACGUGGAGGGAGCCUGGGAGACUGCUGUGCUAGAGGAUUGGAAGGGAGACUGGAAUUCUUGGAGUAGCAGUGAAAUGCGUAGAUAUCAAGAGGAACACCAGUGGCGAAGGCGAGUCUCUGGACAAGACCUGACGCUGAGGCACGAAGGCCAGGGGAUCAAACGG